Ribosomal RNA from Laccaria bicolor S238N-H82, 2638 nucleotides. It matches the Rfam family "Eukaryotic large subunit ribosomal RNA", at positions 24 to 1888 of the family's 3401-position model. NCBI's taxonomy places the organism in Eukaryota, Fungi, Basidiomycota, Agaricomycetes, Agaricales, Hydnangiaceae. The record is from Rfam.
CCCGCUGAACUUAAGCAUAUCAAUAAGCGGAGGAAAAGAAACUAACAAGGAUUCCCCUAGUAACUGCGAGUGAAGCGGGAAAAGCUCAAAUUUAAAAUCUGGCAGUCUUUGGCUGUCCGAGUUGUAAUCUAGAGAAGUAUUAUCCGCGCUGGACCGUGUACAAGUCUCCUGGAAUGGAGCGUCAUAGAGGGUGAGAAUCCCGUCUUUGACACGGACUGCCAGGGCUUUGUGAUAUGCUCUCGAAGAGUCGAGUUGUUUGGGAAUGCAGCUCAAAAUGGGUGGUAAAUUCCAUCUAAAGCUAAAUAUUGGCGAGAGACCGAUAGCGAACAAGUACCGUGAGGGAAAGAUGAAAAGAACUUUGGAAAGAGAGUUAAACAGUACGUGAAAUUGCUGAAAGGGAAACGCUUGAAGUCAGUCGCGUUGGCCAGGGAUCAACCUUGCUUUUUUGCUUGGCUUACUUUCUGGUUGAUGGGUCAGCAUCAAUUUUGACUGGUGGAAAAAGUUCAAAGGAAUGUGGCAUCUUCGGAUGUGUUAUAGCCUUUGUUCACAUACAUUGGUUGGGAUUGAGGAACUCAGCACGCCGCAAGGCCGGGUUUUUAACCACGUACGUGCUUAGGAUGCUGGCAUAAUGGCUUUAAUCGACCCGUCUUGAAACACGGACCAAGGAGUCUAACAUGCCUGCGAGUAUUUGGGUGAAAAACCCGAGUGCGUAAUGAAAGUGAAAGUUGAGAUCCCUGUCGUGNGGAGCAUUGACGCCCGGAUCUGACCUUUUGUGACGAUUCUGCGGUAGAGCAUGUAUGUUGGGACCCGAAAGAUGGUGAACUAUGCCUGAAUAGGGUGAAGCCAGAGGAAACUCUGGUGGAGGCUCGUAGCGAUUCUGACGUGCAAAUCGAUCGNNNNNNNNNNNNNNNNNNNNNNNNNNNNNNNNNNNNNNNNNNNNNNNNNNACUCGGAUUUUAGAAUCGCUGUGCUGUACAAGUCGGCUUUUCUUUCAUUUCCAAGACUAUGUUUUUAUAUACACCAAAGUAUGUUUAUAGAAUGUCAUCAAUGGGAACUUGUUUCCUAUAAAAUUAUACAACUUUCAGCAACGGAUCUCUUGGCUCUCGCAUCGAUGAAGAACGCAGCGAAAUGCGAUAAGUAAUGUGAAUUGCAGAAUUCAGUGAAUCAUCGAAUCUUUGAACGCACCUUGCGCUCCUUGGUAUUCCGAGGAGCAUGCCUGUUUGAGUGUCAUUAAAUUCUCAACCUUCCAACUUUUAUUAGCUUGGUUAGGCUUGGAUGUGGGGGUUGCGGGCUUCAUUAAUGAGGUCGGCUCUCCUUAAAUGCAUUAGCGGAACUUUUGUGACCGUCUAUUGGUGUGAUAAUUAUCUACGCCGUGGAUGUGAAGCAGCUUUAUGAAGUUCUGCUUCUAACCGUCCAUUGACUUGGACAAUUUUGAUAAUUUGACCUCAAAUCAGGUAGGACUACCCGCUGAACUUAAGCAUAUCAAUAAGCGGAGGAAAAGAAACUAACAAGGAUUCCCCUAGUAACUGCGAGUGAAGCGGGAAAAGCUCAAAUUUAAAAUCUGGCAGUCUUUGGCUGUCCGAGUUGUAAUCUAGAGAAGUAUUAUCCGCGCUGGACCGUGUACAAGUCUCCUGGAAUGGAGCGUCAUAGAGGGUGAGAAUCCCGUCUUUGACACGGACUGCCAGGGCUUUGUGAUAUGCUCUCGAAGAGUCGAGUUGUUUGGGAAUGCAGCUCANAAUGGGUGGUAAAUUCCAUCUAAAGCUAAAUAUUGGCGAGAGACCGAUAGCGAACAAGUACCGUGAGGGAAAGAUGAAAAGAACUUUGGAAAGAGAGUUAAACAGUACGUGAAAUUGCUGAAAGGGAAACGCUUGAAGUCAGUCGCGUUGGCCAGGGAUCAACCUUGCUUUUUUGCUUGGCUUACUUUCUGGUUGAUGGGUCAGCAUCAAUUUUGACUGGUGGAAAAAGUUCAAAGGAAUGUGGCAUCUUCGGAUGUGUUAUAGCCUUUGUUCACAUACAUUGGUUGGGAUUGAGGAACUCAGCACGCCGCAAGGCCGGGUUUUUAACCACGUACGUGCUUAGGAUGCUGGCAUAAUGGCUUUAAUCGACCCGUCUUGAAACACGGACCAAGGAGUCUAACAUGCCUGCGAGUAUUUGGGUGAAAAACCCGAGUGCGUAAUGAAAGUGAAAGUUGAGANNNNNNNNNNNNNNNNNNNNNNNNNNNNNNNNNNNNNNNNNNNNNNNNNNNNNNNNNNNNNNNNNNNNNNNNNNNNNGUUGGACAUGGGUCAGUCGAUCCUAAGAGAUAGGGAAGCUCCGUUUCAAAGUGUGCGAUUUUUCGUGCCACCUAUCGAAAGGGAAUCCGGUUAAAAUUCCGGAACCAGAAUGUGGAUCUUUAACGGCAACGUAAAUGAACUUGGAGACAUUGGCAGGAACCCCGGGAAGAGUUAUCUUUUCUCCUUAACAGUCUACAACCCUGAAAUCAGUUUGUCUGGAGCUAGGGUUCAAUGGCUGGUAGAGCACAACACCUCUGUUGUGUCCGGUGCGUUCUUGACAAUCCUUGAAAAUCCAAGGGAAUGAAUAACUUUCACGUCUGGUCGUACUCAUAACCGCAGCAGGUCUCCAAGGUGAACAGCCUCUAGUU